AUGGAGAGUUUUCUGGAUCUGGGAGUUGUCCCUUUGUGGCUUGGGAGAGAGAAGAAGAUGGGGCUGGGCGAUUUGAUGGGGAGAAAAGGAGACGCCCAGGGGGGUGGAGGAGGGAAACACGUGGGGGAGAGAGGAUCAGGUGAGUUCCGCGGCUCGAUGGUUGGGUGGAAGGAAUCGGGAGCGGGGGCCAGGUACUUUCCUAUUCUGGAUAGGAGGGACAGAAAAUUACUAUUUUGGGAGGGCUGCCAGGGAACGCUAGGGAGCAGCCUCCCUAGACGCGUCCAUAUAUGUAUGUACAUAUGUGUCCAAUUCUGCACAAAUGAAGAAAAGCAAUACAACAGAAAAUAUCUCAAGAUGGCAAUGAUAGCUUACUGA
This 375-nucleotide ribosomal RNA is filed under the name Triticum aestivum (bread wheat). Its description in RNAcentral is "partial small subunit ribosomal RNA". The record is from RNAcentral. Lineage: Eukaryota; Viridiplantae; Streptophyta; Magnoliopsida; Poales; Poaceae.